This 497-nucleotide ribosomal RNA is filed under the name uncultured bacterium. RNAcentral describes it as "partial 16S ribosomal RNA". It matches the Rfam family "Bacterial small subunit ribosomal RNA", at positions 28 to 507 of the family's 1533-position model. The record is from RNAcentral.
GAUGAACGCUGGCGUCGUGCCUAAUACAUGCAAGUCGAGCGAACAGACGAGGAGCUUGCUCCUCUGACGUUAGCGGCGGACGGGUGAGUAACACGUGGAUAACCUACCUAUAAGACUGGGAUAACUUCGGGAAACCGGAGCUAAUACCGGAUAAUAUAUUGAACCGCAGGGUUCAAUAGUGAAAGACGGUUUUGCUGUCACUUAUAGAUGGAUCCGCGCCGCAUUAGCUAGUUGGUAAGUUAACGGCUUACCAAGGCAACGAUGCGUAGCCGACCUGAGAGGGUGAUCGGCCACACUGGAACUGAGACACGGUCCAGACUCCUACGGGAGGCAGCAGUAGGCAAUCUUCCGCAAUGGGCGAAAGCCUGACGGAGCAACGCCGCGUGAGUGAUGAAGGUCUUCGGAUCGUAAAGCUCUGUUAUUAGGGAAGAACAAAUGUGUAAGUAAAUAUGCACGUCUUGACGGUACCUAAUCAGAAAGCCACGGCUAACUACGUG